Molecule: ribosomal RNA, 497 nt
Filed under: uncultured bacterium
Lineage: Bacteria
Description: partial 16S ribosomal RNA
Rfam family: Bacterial small subunit ribosomal RNA
Source: RNAcentral
GAUGAACGCUGGCGGCGUGCCUAAUACAUGCAAGUCGAGCGAACAGACGAGGAGCUUGCUCCUCUGACGUUAGCGGCGGACGGGUGAGUAACACGUGGAUAACCUACCUAUAAGACUGGGAUAACUUCGGGAAACCGGAGCUAAUACCGGAUAAUAUAUUGAACCGCAUGGUUCAAUAGUGAAAGACGGUUUUGCUGUCACUUAUAGAUGGAUCCGCGCCGCAUUAGCUAGUUGGUAAGGUAACGGCUUACCAAGGCAACGAUGCGUAGCCGACCUGAGAGGGUGAUCGGCCACACUGGAACUGAGACACGGUCCAGACUCCUACGGGAGGCAGCAGUAGGGAAUCUUCCGCAAUGGGCGAAAGCCUGACGGAGCAACGCCGCGUGAGUGAUGAAGGUCGUCGGAUCGUAAAACUCUGUUAUUAGGGAAGAACAAAUGUGUAAGUAACUAUGCACGUCUUGACGGUACCUAAUCAGAAAGCCACGGCUAACUACGUG